RNAcentral lists this unclassified non-coding RNA (502 nucleotides) under uncultured Diversispora. RNAcentral's name for it is "SSU rRNA". It matches the Rfam family "Eukaryotic small subunit ribosomal RNA", at positions 591 to 1092 of the family's 1831-position model. The record is from RNAcentral. Lineage: Eukaryota; Fungi; Glomeromycota; Glomeromycetes; Diversisporales; Diversisporaceae.
CCAAUAGCGUAUAUUAAAGUUGUUGCAGUUAAAAAGCUCGUAGUUGAACUUCGGGGUUCACCCAUUGGCCAGGCUUAAUUGUCUGUACUGGUGAGAUGAGUCUCUACCUUCUGAGGAACUUUCAUGCCAUUUAUUUGGUGUGGUUGGAAAUCAGGACUGUUACUUUGAAAAAAUUAGAGUGUUUAAAGCAGGCUAACGUCUGAAUACAUUAGCAUGGAAUAAUGAAAUAGGACGGAUUGAUUCUAUUUCGUUGGUUUCUAGGGUCACCGUAAUGAUUAAUAGGGGUAGUUGGGGGCAUUAGUAUUCAAUUGUCAGAGGAGAAAUUCUUGGAUUUAUUGAAGACUAACUACUGCGAAAGAAUUUGCCAAGGAUGUUUUCAUUAAUCAAGAACGAAAGUUAGGGGAUCGAAGACGAUCAGAUACCGUCGUAGUCUUAACCAUAAACUAUGCCGACUAGGGAUCGGACGCAGUUAAUUUUAUAAUGACGUGUUCGGCACCUUACG